This is a long non-coding RNA of Osmerus eperlanus (European smelt), 910 nucleotides long. RefSeq lists it as uncharacterized. NCBI's taxonomy places the organism in Eukaryota, Metazoa, Chordata, Actinopteri, Osmeriformes, Osmeridae. The record is from RefSeq and is a predicted model, not a curated record. The transcript has 5 exons.
UGACACAUAUUUCAAGUCCUCACGAUAAAUGUGUCCACACUUAAUAUCCUCAGCACUCUUAAAAGGAAGCAACAGCGGCCAUACGCUUGGACAGAGAGGGGGAGAGAGAGAAAGAGAAGAUAGGGGGGGAAGGAGGGAGGGAGAGAAAGAAAGAAAGCGAGAGAGUGAGGUGAAAAAAGAGGGCGGAAAGAUGGAGAAACUGUCAGGCGUUUCCUUCCCCCUCUCUUCGGUGGAGGAAACAAGCACGUCAAGGAGACUAACCUGUCGGUCGCUGCUAGCUGCUCUUAACUCGACGCCCAAACGCCUGUGUCUGCCUCGAAGCUUAUCAGCGCCUCCCAGACAGUGAUUUGAGUGCGUGGAGAGUGCAGAGGAGCGCUGAAAAGAGAAGGAAGAGCAGGGAGGUGAGGAGCUGCUAUCUUUGGUGGGUUAGUUGGGAGGCGAUAAAGGCACCGCUUUAAUUUCCCCUUCCUCUCAACCGACAAUCCUCAUCCAUCUGCUGCUUUCCUGUUGCAACCUACUGGGGUUUAAAUCUACUUGACUUAGAGACAAGCUCAACACUGAAUAGCUCCCGGUAGCAGAUGGCUGAGUUAUGCUCUGCAGAGAAAACUCCAAGACUCUGGAGUCUCCAUAAUGAUCCUUCAUAACUUUUCAUGGUCACGACGCGUCACCGUUGACGUCUGGCAGACUGUUUCCAGUUAAAUGCCAUACUAAACCCCUUACCGAACCAGAGAAACUUCCAUUCUUUGUGCUCUGUAACACCCAAUAAUACACAUUAAGCCUUUCAUUACAUUUCAAUAAACUGUGUGCCAUGCUGAGUGCACUAUGACCCCAGAAUGUCAUGAUUACAUGUGCACUUCUCCUUGGUUUUGUCACUACUUCUUAGGAAACAGAAACUCAGGAACCUAAACCU